RNAcentral lists this ribosomal RNA (1371 nucleotides) under uncultured bacterium. RNAcentral describes it as "bacterial SSU rRNA". It matches the Rfam family "Bacterial small subunit ribosomal RNA", at positions 28 to 1381 of the family's 1533-position model. The record is from RNAcentral.
GAUGAACGCUGGCGGCGUGCCUAAUACAUGCAAGUCGAGCGAACGGACGAGAAGCUUGCUUCUCUGAUGUUAGCGGCGGACGGGUGAGUAACACGUGGAUAACCUACCUAUAAGACUGGGAUAACUUCGGGAAACCGGAGCUAAUACCGGAUAAUAUUUUGAACCGCAUGGUUCAAAAGUGAAAGACGGUCUUGCUGUCACUUAUAGAUGGAUCCGCGCUGCAUUAGCUAGUUGGUAAGGUAACGGCUUACCAAGGCAACGAUGCAUAGCCGACCUGAGAGGGUGAUCGGCCACACUGGCACUGAGACACGGUCCAGACUCCUACGGGAGGCAGCAGUAGGGAAUCUUCCGCAAUGGGCGAAAGCCUGAACGAGCAACGCCCCGUGAGUGAUGAAAGUCUUCGGAUCGUAAAACUCUGUUAUUAGGGAAGAACAUAUGUGUAAGUAACUGUGCACAUCUUGACGGUACCUAAUCAGAAAGCCACGGCUAACUACGUGCCAGCAGCCGCGGUAAUACGUANGUGGCAAGCGUUAUCCGGAAUUAUUGGGCGUAAAGCGCGCGUAGGCGGUUUUUUAGUCUGAUGUGAAAGCCCACGGCUCAACCGUGGAGGGUCAUUGGAAACUGGAAAACUCGAGUGCAGAAGAGGAAAGCGGAAUUCCAUGUGUAGCGGUGAAAUGCGCAGAGAUAUGGAGGAACACCAGUGGCGAAGGCGACUUUCUGGUCUGUAACUGACGCUGAUGUGCGAAAGCGUGGGGAUCAAACAGGAUUAGAUACCCUGGUAGUCCACGCCGUAAACGAUGAGUGCUAAGUGUUAGGGGGUUUCCGCCCCUUAGUGCUGUAGCUAACGCAUUAAGCACUCCGCCUGGGGAGUACGACCGCAAGGUUGAAACUCAAAGGAAUUGACGGGGACCCGCACAAGCGGUGGAGCAUGUGGUUUAAUUCGAAGCAACGCGAAGAACCUUACCAAAUCUUGACAUCCUUUGACCCUUCUAGAGAUAGAAGUUUCCCCUUCGGGGGACAAAGUGACAGGUGGUGCAUGGUUGUCGUCAGCUCGUGUCGUGAGAUGUUGGGUUAAGUCCCGCAACGAGCGCAACCCUUAAGCUUAGUUGCCAUCAUUAAGUUGGGCACUCUAAGUUGACUGCCGGUGACAAACCGGAGGAAGGUGGGGAUGACGUCAAAUCAUCAUGCCCCUUAUGAUUUGGGCUACACACGUGCUACAAUGGACAAUACAAAGGGCAGCGAAACCGCGAGGUCAAGCAAAUCCCAUAAAGUUGUUCUCAGUUCGGAUUGUAGUCUGCAACUCGACUACAUGAAGCUGGAAUCGCUAGUAAUCGUAGAUCAGCAUGCUACGGUGAAUACGUUCCCGGGUCU